AUUGAACGCUGGCGGCAUGCUUUACACAUGCAAGUCGAACGGCAGCGCGGGCUUCGGCCUGGCGGCGAGUGGCGAACGGGUGAGUAAUACAUCGGAACGUGCCCAGUAGUGGGGGAUAGCUCGGCGAAAGCCGGAUUAAUUCCGCAUACGACCUGAGGGUGAAAGCGGGGGAUCUUCGGACCUCGCGCUAUUGGAGCGGCCGAUGGCAGAUUAGCUAGUUGGUGGGGUAAAGGCCUACCAAGGCGACGAUCUGUAGCUGGUCUGAGAGGACGACCAGCCACACUGGGACUGAGACACGGCCCAGACUCCUACGGGAGGCAGCAGUGGGGAAUUUUGGACAAUGGGCGAAAGCCUGAUCCAGCAAUGCCGCGUGUGUGAUGAAGGCCUUCGGGUUGUAAAGCACUUUUGGCGGGAACGAAAAGGACUGUGCCAAUACCACGGUUCGAUGACGGUACCCGCAGAAUAAGCACCGGCUAACUACGUG
This 484-nucleotide ribosomal RNA is filed under the name uncultured bacterium. RNAcentral describes it as "partial 16S ribosomal RNA". It matches the Rfam family "Bacterial small subunit ribosomal RNA", at positions 29 to 507 of the family's 1533-position model. The record is from RNAcentral.